GAGCUCGUAGGUGGUUUGUCGCGUCGUUUGUGGAAUACCGCAGCUUAACUGCGGGGUUGCAGGCGAUACGGGCAUAACUUGAGUGCUGUAGGGGAGACUGGAAUUCCUGGUGUAGCGGUGGAAUGCGCAGAUAUCAGGAGGAACACCGAUGGCGAAGGCAGGUCUCUGGGCAGUAACUGACGCUGAGGAGCGAAAGCAUGGGGAGCGAACAGGAUUAGAUACCCUGGUAGUCCAUGCUGUAAACGGUGGGCGCUAGGUGUGAGUCCCUUCCACGGGGUUCGUGCCGUAGCUAACGGCAUUAAGCGCCCCGCCUGGGGAGUACGGCCGCAAGGCUAAAACUCAAAGGAAUUGACGGGGGCCCGCACAAGCGGCGGAGCAUGUGGAUUAAUUCGAUGCAACGCGAAGAACCUUACCUGGGCUUGACAUACACCAGAUCGCUGCAGAGAUGUAGUUUCCCUUUGUGGCUGGUGUACAGGUGGUGCAUGGUUGUCGUCAGCUCGUGUCGUGAGAUGUUGGGUUAAGUCCCGCAACGAGCGCAACCCUUGUCUUAUGUUGCCAGCAUUUGGUUGGGGACUCAUGAGAGACUGCCGGGGUUAACUCGGAGGAAGGUGGGGAUGACGUCAAAUCAUCAUGCCCCUUAUGUCCAGGGCUUCACACAUGCUACAAUGGUCGGUACAGCGCGUGUGCGAUACUGUGAGGUGGAGCUAAUCGCUGAAAGCCGGUCGUAGUUCGGAUUGGGGUCUGCAACUCGACCCCAUGAAGUCGG
RNAcentral lists this ribosomal RNA (766 nucleotides) under uncultured bacterium. RNAcentral's name for it is "bacterial SSU rRNA". It matches the Rfam family "Bacterial small subunit ribosomal RNA", at positions 565 to 1329 of the family's 1533-position model. The record is from RNAcentral.